GCGAGACAGAGACAGCGGCGAUUUGGAGACUGGCGGAGCAAACGAAGCUAAAAUCGACUCGGGGACACCGCUGGAAAAGGUUAACUACGACGAGAACGUUUUGGUCAUAAUGGCUGGUAACCAGAAUCCGACGUUCUUAGCUAGGCCUGUAUGCAUAAAAGUUUUCUCCGCCGUGGAAACCGCCGUCAAUGGUAAAUCGGA
This 201-nucleotide unclassified non-coding RNA is filed under the name Hevea brasiliensis (rubber tree). Lineage: Eukaryota; Viridiplantae; Streptophyta; Magnoliopsida; Malpighiales; Euphorbiaceae. The record is from RNAcentral.